This 1968-nucleotide ribosomal RNA is filed under the name human gut metagenome. RNAcentral's name for it is "bacterial LSU rRNA". It matches the Rfam family "Bacterial large subunit ribosomal RNA", at positions 1 to 1999 of the family's 2925-position model. The record is from RNAcentral.
UUAAGCGACUAAGCGUACACGGUGGAUGCCCUGGCAGUCAGAGGCGAUGAAGGACGUGCUAAUCUGCGAUAAGCGUCGGUAAGGUGAUAUGAACCGUUAUAACCGGCGAUUUCCGAAUGGGGAAACCCAGUGUGUUUCGACACACUAUCAUUAACUGAAUCCAUAGGUUAAUGAGGCGAACCGGGGGAACUGAAACAUCUAAGUACCCCGAGGAAAAGAAAUCAACCGAGAUUCCCCCAGUAGCGGCGAGCGAACGGGGAGCAGCCCAGAGCCUGAAUCAGUGUGUGUGUUAGUGGAAGCGUCUGGAAAGGCGCGCGAUACAGGGUGACAGCCCCGUACACAAAAAUGCACAUGCUGUGAGCUCGAUGAGUAGGGCGGGACACGUGGUAUCCUGUCUGAAUAUGGGGGGACCAUCCUCCAAGGCUAAAUACUCCUGACUGACCGAUAGUGAACCAGUACCGUGAGGGAAAGGCGAAAAGAACCCCGGCGAGGGGAGUGAAAAAGAACCUGAAACCGUGUACGUACAAGCAGUGGGAGCACCUUCGGGUGUGACUGCGUACCUUUUGUAUAAUGGGUCAGCGACUUAUAUUCUGUAGCAAGGUUAACCGAAUAGGGGAGCCGAAGGGAAACCGAGUCUUAACUGGGCGUUAAGUUGCAGGGUAUAGACCCGAAACCCGGUGAUCUAGCCAUGGGCAGGUUGAAGGUUGGGUAACACUAACUGGAGGACCGAACCGACUAAUGUUGAAAAAUUAGCGGAUGACUUGUGGCUGGGGGUGAAAGGCCAAUCAAACCGGGAGAUAGCUGGUUCUCCCCGAAAGCUAUUUAGGUAGCGCCUCGUGAAUUCAUCUCCGGGGGUAGAGCACUGUUUCGGCAAGGGGGUCAUCCCGACUUACCAACCCGAUGCAAACUGCGAAUACCGGAGAAUGUUAUCACGGGAGACACACGGCGGGUGCUAACGUCCGUCGUGAAGAGGGAAACAACCCAGACCGCCAGCUAAGGUCCCAAAGUCAUGGUUAAGUGGGAAACGAUGUGGGAAGGCCCAGACAGCCAGGAUGUUGGCUUAGAAGCAGCCAUCAUUUAAAGAAAGCGUAAUAGCUCACUGGUCGAGUCGGCCUGCGCGGAAGAUGUAACGGGGCUAAACCAUGCACCGAAGCUGCGGCAGCGACACUAUGUGUUGUUGGGUAGGGGAGCGUUCUGUAAGCCUGUGAAGGUGUACUGUGAGGUAUGCUGGAGGUAUCAGAAGUGCGAAUGCUGACAUAAGUAACGAUAAAGCGGGUGAAAAGCCCGCUCGCCGGAAGACCAAGGGUUCCUGUCCAACGUUAAUCGGGGCAGGGUGAGUCGACCCCUAAGGCGAGGCCGAAAGGCGUAGUCGAUGGGAAACAGGUUAAUAUUCCUGUACUUGGUGUUACUGCGAAGGGGGGACGGAGAAGGCUAUGUUGGCCGGGCGACGGUUGUCCCGGUUUAAGCGUGUAGGCUGGUUUUCCAGGCAAAUCCGGAAAAUCAAGGCUGAGGCGUGAUGACGAGGCACUACGGUGCUGAAGCAACAAAUGCCCUGCUUCCAGGAAAAGCCUCUAAGCAUCAGGUAACAUCAAAUCGUACCCCAAACCGACACAGGUGGUCAGGUAGAGAAUACCAAGGCGCUUGAGAGAACUCGGGUGAAGGAACUAGGCAAAAUGGUGCCGUAACUUCGGGAGAAGGCACGCUGAUAUGUAGGUGAAGCGACUUGCUCGUGGAGCUGAAAUCAGUCGAAGAUACCAGCUGGCUGCAACUGUUUAUUAAAAACACAGCACUGUGCAAACACGAAAGUGGACGUAUACGGUGUGACGCCUGCCCGGUGCCGGAAGGUUAAUUGAUGGGGUUAGCGCAAGCGAAGCUCUUGAUCGAAGCCCCGGUAAACGGCGGCCGUAACUAUAACGGUCCUAAGGUAGCGAAAUUCCUUGUCGGGUAAGUUCCGACCUGCACGAAUGG